CCAGGUUGAGGUAGUAGGUUGUAUAGUUUAGAGUUACAUCAAGGGAGAUAACUGUACAGCCUCCUAGCUUUCCUUG
Non-coding RNA from Cricetulus griseus (Chinese hamster), 76 nucleotides. The record is from Rfam. Lineage: Eukaryota; Metazoa; Chordata; Mammalia; Rodentia; Cricetidae.